UAGCGUAUACUAAUGUUGUUGCAGUUAAAAAGCUCGUAGUUGGAUUUCUGGGAUUUUCAGCCGGCCGGCUCUUAGGAGUUGUAGCUAGGUUUGCAAGUCUCAUCUUCUCACAAUUCUCACUGGCCUUAACUGUUCGGUGCAGAGGACUGAGUCGCUCACUUUGAGAAAAUUAGAGUGUUCAAAGCAGGCUAUCGCCUUGAAUAUAUUAGCAUGGAAUAAUGAUAUAGGACUUUGGUUCUAUUUUGUUGGUUGUUCGAGGACCGAAGUAAUGAUUGAUAGGGACGGUUGGGGGCGUCAGUAUUCUGAAGCGAGAGGUGAAAUUCUUGGACCUUCGGAAGACUAACAACUGCGAAAGCAUUCGCCUAGGAUGUUCUCUUUAAUCAAGAACGAAAGUUGGGGGAUCGAAGACGAUCAGAUACCGUCGUAGUCUCAACUAUAAACUAUGCCAGCUAGGGAUUGGUGGAUGUUUAAUUACGACUCCAUCAGCACCUUAUGAGAAAUCAAAGCAUCUGGGUUCCGGGGGGAGUAUGGUCGCAAGGCUGAACCUUAAAGGAAUUGACGGGAGGGCACC
Molecule: ribosomal RNA, 571 nt
Filed under: uncultured marine eukaryote
Lineage: Eukaryota
Description: bacterial SSU rRNA
Rfam family: Eukaryotic small subunit ribosomal RNA
Source: RNAcentral